RNAcentral lists this non-coding RNA (29 nucleotides) under Mus musculus (house mouse). The record is from RNAcentral. Lineage: Eukaryota; Metazoa; Chordata; Mammalia; Rodentia; Muridae.
UAGACAUUAGGGGCAUGCAAAUUAAAACC